Molecule: transfer RNA, 72 nt
Filed under: Cronartium ribicola 11-2
Lineage: Eukaryota; Fungi; Basidiomycota; Pucciniomycetes; Pucciniales; Coleosporiaceae
Description: tRNA-Sup (CTA) (tRNA-Sup-CTA-30-1)
Rfam family: tRNA
About the family: Transfer RNA (tRNA) molecules are approximately 80 nucleotides in length. Their secondary structure includes four short double-helical elements and three loops (D, anti-codon, and T loops). Further hydrogen bonds mediate the characteristic L-shaped molecular structure. tRNAs have two regions of fundamental functional importance: the anti-codon, which is responsible for specific mRNA codon recognition, and the 3' end, to which the tRNAs corresponding amino acid is attached (by aminoacyl-tRNA synthetases). tRNAs cope with the degeneracy of the genetic code in two manners: having more than one tRNA (with a specific anti-codon) for a particular amino acid; and 'wobble' base-pairing, i.e. permitting non-standard base-pairing at the 3rd anti-codon position.
Source: RNAcentral
GUGUCUGUAGCCUAGUGGAAAAAGGCAGCACUCUAGAUGCUGAGGUUGUGGGUUCAAAUCCCACCAGACACA